GGAAUCAGCAUCGGCUAACUCCGUGCCAGCAGCCGCGGUAAGACGGAGGAUGCAAGCGUUAUCCGGAAUGAUUGGGCGUAAAGCGUCCGUAGGCGGUUUGUCGCGUCUGUCGUGAAAGUCCGGGGCUUAACCCCGGAUCUGCGGUGGGUACGGGCAGACUAGAGUGCAGUAGGGGAGACUGGAAUUCCUGGUGUAGCGGUGGAAUGCGCAGAUAUCAGGAGGAACACCGAUGGCGAAGGCAGGUCUCU
RNAcentral lists this ribosomal RNA (248 nucleotides) under uncultured bacterium. Its description in RNAcentral is "partial 16S ribosomal RNA". It matches the Rfam family "Bacterial small subunit ribosomal RNA", at positions 483 to 730 of the family's 1533-position model. The record is from RNAcentral.